This 2786-nucleotide ribosomal RNA is filed under the name Salmonella enterica subsp. enterica serovar Enteritidis. RNAcentral describes it as "partial 23S ribosomal RNA". It matches the Rfam family "Bacterial large subunit ribosomal RNA". Lineage: Bacteria; Pseudomonadati; Pseudomonadota; Gammaproteobacteria; Enterobacterales; Enterobacteriaceae. The record is from RNAcentral.
GGGUUGUGAGGUUAAGCGACUAAGCGUACACGGUGGAUGCCCUGGCAGUCAGAGGCGAUGAAGGGCGUGCUAAUCUGCGAUAAGCGCCGGUAAGGUGAUAUGAACCGUUAUAACCGGCGAUACCCGAAUGGGGAAACCCAGUGUGACUCGUCACACUAUCAUUAACUGAAUCCAUAGGUUAAUGAGGCGAACCGGGGGAACUGAAACAUCUAAGUACCCCGAGGAAAAGAAAUCAACCGAGAUUCCCCCAGUAGCGGCGAGCGAACGGGGAGGAGCCCAGAGCCUGAAUCAGCAUGUGUGUUAGUGGAAGCGUCUGGAAAGGCGCGCGAUACAGGGUGACAGCCCCGUACACAAAAGCGCAUGUGCUGUGAGCUCGAUGAGUAGGGCGGGACACGUGGUAUCCUGUCUGAAUAUGGGGGGACCAUCCUCCAAGGCUAAAUACUCCUGACUGACCGAUAGUGAACCAGUACCGUGAGGGAAAGGCGAAAAGAACCCCGGCGAGGGGAGUGAAAAAGAACCUGAAACCGUGUACGUACAAGCAGUGGGAGCACCCUUUGGGUGUGACUGCGUACCUUUUGUAUAAUGGGUCAGCGACUUAUAUUCUGUAGCAAGGUUAACCGAAUAGGGGAGCCGGAGGGAAACCGAGUCUUAACCGGGCGUUAAGUUGCAGGGUAUAGACCCGAAACCCGGUGAUCUAGCCAUGGGCAGGUUGAAGGUUGGGUAACACUAACUGGAGGACCGAACCGACUAAUGUUGAAAAAUUAGCGGAUGACCUGUGGCUGGGGGUGAAAGGCCAAUCAAACCGGGAGAUAGCUGGUUCUCCCCGAAAGCUAUUUAGGUAGCGCCUCGUGAAUUCAUCUCCGGGGGUAGAGCACUGUUUCGGCUAGGGGGCCAUCCCGGCUUACCAACCCGAUGCAAACUGCGAAUACCGGAGAAUGUUAUCACGGGAGACACACGGCGGGUGCUAACGUCCGUCGUGAAGAGGGAAACAACCCAGACCGCCAGCUAAGGUCCCAAAGUCAUGGUUAAGUGGGAAACGAUGUGGGAAGGCCCAGACAGCCAGGAUGUUGGCUUAGAAGCAGCCAUCAUUUAAAGAAAGCGUAAUAGCUCACUGGUCGAGUCGGCCUGCGCGGAAGAUGUAACGGGGCUAAACCAUGCACCGAAGCUGCGGCAGCGACACUGUGUGUUGUUGGGUAGGGGAGCGUUCUGUAAGCCUGUGAAGGUGUGUCGUGAGGCAUGCUGGAGGUAUCAGAAGUGCGAAUGCUGACAUAAGUAACGAUAAAGCGGGUGAAAAGCCCGCUCGCCGGAAGACCAAGGGUUCCUGUCCAACGUUAAUCGGGGCAGGGUGAGUCGACCCCUAAGGCGAGGCCGAAAGGCGUAGUCGAUGGGAAACGGGUUAAUAUUCCCGUACUUGGUGUUACUGCGAAGGGGGGACGGAGAAGGCUAUGUUGGCCGGGCGACGGUUGUCCCGGUUUAAGCGUGUAGGUGUGUGUUCCAGGUAAAUCCGGUUCACUUUAACACUGAGGCGUGACGACGAGGCACUACGGUGCUGAAGCAACAAAUGCCCUGCUUCCAGGAAAAGCCUCUAAGCAUCAGGUAACAUCAAAUCGUACCCCAAACCGACACAGGUGGUCAGGUAGAGAAUACCAAGGCGCUUGAGAGAACUCGGGUGAAGGAACUAGGCAAAAUGGUGCCGUAACUUCGGGAGAAGGCACGCUGACACGUAGGUGAAGUGAUUUACUCAUGGAGCUGAAGUCAGUCGAAGAUACCAGCUGGCUGCAACUGUUUAUUAAAAACACAGCACUGUGCAAACACGAAAGUGGACGUAUACGGUGUGACGCCUGCCCGGUGCCGGAAGGUUAAUUGAUGGGGUCAGCGCAAGCGAAGCUCCUGAUCGAAGCCCCGGUAAACGGCGGCCGUAACUAUAACGGUCCUAAGGUAGCGAAAUUCCUUGUCGGGUAAGUUCCGACCUGCACGAAUGGCGUAAUGAUGGCCAGGCUGUCUCCACCCGAGACUCAGUGAAAUUGAACUCGCUGUGAAGAUGCAGUGUACCCGCGGCAAGACGGAAAGACCCCGUGAACCUUUACUAUAGCUUGACACUGAACAUUGAGCCUUGAUGUGUAGGAUAGGUGGGAGGCUUUGAAGUGUGGACGCCAGUCUGCAUGGAGCCGACCUUGAAAUACCACCCUUUAAUGUUUGAUGUUCUAACGUGGACCCGUUACCCGGGUUGCGGACAGUGUCUGGUGGGUAGUUUGACUGGGGCGGUCUCCUCCUAAAGAGUAACGGAGGAGCACGAAGGUUGGCUAAUCCUGGUCGGACAUCAGGAGGUUAGUGCAAUGGCAUAAGCCAGCUUGACUGCGAGCGUGACGGCGCGAGCAGGUGCGAAAGCAGGUCAUAGUGAUCCGGUGGUUCUGAAUGGAAGGGCCAUCGCUCAACGGAUAAAAGGUACUCCGGGGAUAACAGGCUGAUACCGCCCAAGAGUUCAUAUCGACGGCGGUGUUUGGCACCUCGAUGUCGGCUCAUCACAUCCUGGGGCUGAAGUAGGUCCCAAGGGUAUGGCUGUUCGCCAUUUAAAGUGGUACGCGAGCUGGGUUUAGAACGUCGUGAGACAGUUCGGUCCCUAUCUGCCGUGGGCGCUGGAGAACUGAGGGGGGCUGCUCCUAGUACGAGAGGACCGGAGUGGACGCAUCACUGGUGUUCGGGUUGUCAUGCCAAUGGCACUGCCCGGUAGCUAAAUGCGGAAGAGAUAAGUGCUGAAAGCAUCUAAGCACGAAACUUGCCCCGAG